RNAcentral lists this small RNA (715 nucleotides) under Pan troglodytes (chimpanzee). RNAcentral's name for it is "processed transcript". The record is from RNAcentral. Lineage: Eukaryota; Metazoa; Chordata; Mammalia; Primates; Hominidae.
GCUGGCGGCCGGCAGGGGGCGGAGUUCGAGCCUGGAUUUUUUUCCUCGGGGCCUCCCCCGGGAGGCCGUCCCGGCGUGGGGGAGGGGAGGACGGCGCGGGAGGAAGCGGUUCGGUCGGCUGCAGCGCUACUUUUGGUCCGGGGUCGGCAGGGAGGCCGCGGCUACCGCAUCACAGCUGACGUGAGGACUACGUGGGGCCGCUGCCGGCUCCGGGUUGCUGGGCGGCGGCGCCGCUGCUGAGCGGCGGUCGGGCUCGCCGUCUCCACCUCCUCGCGUCCGUAAUCAGUGACGAGGUCCGCUACGUAAAUCCCUUUGCGGCGGGAUAAAUAAAGAAAACAGGAAAGGAGGAAAGCAUUGAUUACAGAUGUCUUAACAAUGAGCAAAUGUGCAAGGAAAAAAUAUAUUAAGACAAAUCCAAGACAAAUGACCAUGGAAACAGUUGAAUCCCAGCAUGAUGGAAGUAUAACAGCUUCUUUGACAGAGAGCAAGUCUGCUCAUGUGCAGACUCAGACUGGCCAAAAUUCAAUCCCUGCUUUAGCUCAGGUAGGCAAUAGGCAGGCACCGUUGAAAGUCAAAAUAUAUGGAAAUGAGAAUUAGGUGCAGAUUCUGUUUUCUUGCCAUUGAUCUUAAAUUUUCCAUGUUCCCUGGUUAUCAUCCAUUCUUGCUUAUUUGAUUGUGAAGAAAAGAUACGUGUUGUAAUUAGCCUUGCAUUUUA